RNAcentral lists this ribosomal RNA (1250 nucleotides) under Foxtail yellow decline phytoplasma Bangi-2. Its description in RNAcentral is "bacterial SSU rRNA". It matches the Rfam family "Bacterial small subunit ribosomal RNA", at positions 153 to 1401 of the family's 1533-position model. The record is from RNAcentral. Lineage: Bacteria; Bacillati; Mycoplasmatota; Mollicutes; Acholeplasmatales; Acholeplasmataceae.
GAAACGACUGCUAAGACUGGAUAGGAAAUUAGAAGGCAUCUUUUAAUUUUUAAAAGACCUUUUUCGAAAGGUAUACUUAAAGAGGGGCUUGCGGCACAUUAGUUAGUUGGUAGGGUAAAAGCCUACCAAGACCAUGAUGUGUAGCUGGACUGAGAGGUUGAACAGCCACAUUGGGACUGAGACACGGCCCAAACUCCUACGGGAGGCAGCAGUAGGGAAUUUUCGGCAAUGGAGGAAACUCUGACCGAGCAACGCCGCGUGAACGAUGAAGUAUUUCGGUAUGUAAAGUUCUUUUAUUGAAGAAGAAAAAAUAGUGGAAAAACUAUCUUGACGAUAUUCAAUGAAUAAGCCCCGGCAAACUAUGUGCCAGCAGCCGCGGUAAUACCUAGGGGGCGAGCGUUAUCCGGAAUUAUUGGGCGUAAAGGGUGCGUAGGCGGUUUGGUAAGUCUAUAGUUUAAUUUCAGUGCUUAACACUGUUCUGCUAUAGAAACUAUCAGACUAGAGUGAGAUAGAGGCAAGUGGAAUUCCAUGUGUAGCGGUAAAAUGCGUAAAUAUAUGGAGGAACACCAGAGGCGUAGGCGGCUUGCUGGGUCUUUACCGACGCUGAGGCACGAAAGCGUGGGGAGCAAACAGGAUUAGAUACCCUGGUAGUCCACGCCGUAAACGAUGAGUACUAAGUGUCGGGGAAACUCGGUACUGAAGUUAACACAUUAAGUACUCCGCCUGAGUAGUACGUACGCAAGUAUGAAACUUAAAGGAAUUGACGGGACUCCGCACAAGCGGUGGAUCAUGUUGUUUAAUUCGAAAGGUACCCGAAAAACCUCACCAGGUCUUGACAUGCUUCUGCAAAGCUGUAGAACACAGUGGAGGUUAUCAGUUGCACAGGUGGUGCAUGGUUGUCGUCAGCUCGUGUCGUGAGAUGUUGGGUUAAGUCCCGCAACGAGCGCAACCCUUAUUGUUAGUUACCAGCACGUAAUGGUGGGGACUUUAGCAAGACUGCCAGUGAUAAAUUGGAGGAAGGUGGGGACGACGUCAAAUCAUCAUGCCCCUUGUGACCUGGGCUACAAACGUGAUACAAUGGCUGUUACAAAGGGUAGCUGAAGCGCAAGUUUUUGGCGAAUCUCAAAAAAACAGUCUCAGUUCGGAUUGAAGUCUGCAACUCGACUUCAUGAAGUUGGAAUCGCUAGUAAUCACGAAUCAGCAUGUCGCGGUGAAUACGUUCUCGGGGUUUGUACACACGGCCCGUCAAA